GGGGAAUCUAAAAUUUGGAUUUUCGUCUCUUGACAGGAGGGGACUGGGCCUGAGAAAUCUGGAGGUCGUUGGUAAGUUAUCACGGGGGGCAAAGGGCUCUUUCGUCCUUUCACAGAACUCCCACCAAUCUCCUGACUGAUCCUAAGUCCUUCCUUAGCGGCUUGAUUUCCCGUGGCGCCCUUCUCUUCUCCUGAAGGCAACAGACAGAAACACAUGAUGAGUAAUGGGUAAAACGGAGAAGAAUGCCUUGUUCCUAUAUUCGUUGCUCUUUGGGUUGUACUUCACCAGCGUCUGGACAGCUCCUCCACUCCCAUAGACCUCCUAGGUAAGUACAAAGUAACACACAAGUCCCUGAGGGCACAGGUAAGUAACAGAGGUAAGGAUGUAGCAAGGUAACUAGGUCAUUCCCCUGGAUGUACACCGGUGUAUUCGAAGCGAGUAACUUUUAACUCGUAGCACAGAUAGGUAUUGAGCAAGGUGACUGACUCUUCACACUGGGCUUACAGGGCGUAUUCAAGGUCAAUAGCUUUUAGCGCGUGCAGACAGGUAUGUAUUCAACAAAGUGACUGUAUCUUCACGCUGGGCUUACAGGGCGUAUUCAAGGUCAAUAGCUUUUAGCUCGUGCAGACAGGUAAGUAUUCAACAAAGUGACUGUAUCUUCACGCUGGGCUUACAGGGCGUAUUCAAGAUCAAUAACUUUUAGCUUUCCCCACAAUAUCCACACAAUACCUUGUUUUGCAUUCACGCUUCACCUCCUUCAGGCUAGGUACGGGGAACGGAGUUAUAGGCGGGCGUAGGUGGGAUAGGUGGGCAUCGCCACGGCAGCCUACGUUCUCUCCAACAGGAACUUUUCUCGGCCUGGAGGGCGAGUACAGACAACAGGGACACGGCACAGCACUGCAAAACUUCGGUGUACACACGUCAAAGACAGACUCACCCACUGCACUACACACACUUCAGUGACUUUUAAGGUCGGUACUCCACGCCCGGUCGGAUUUCGUCCUGGAGGAGUUUACAGUCGCUGGCACGGUAAGUGCUCCAAACUUUACGGUGUGGCCACAGCCAAAUAACAUCCAUUCACCCCCACUCUACUUCGGCUCACCCACUCGUCUCGUCCUCCACGAUGGGGCCACUCAACAAGCUGUUAAUCACUCCAGCAGAUAUUAGUUAUCCAUAUCCAAGUAUGAGCAAUGAUAUGUAAACAAUCCAAUGUACU
Molecule: long non-coding RNA, 1216 nt
Organism: Cyprinus carpio carpio
Lineage: Eukaryota; Metazoa; Chordata; Actinopteri; Cypriniformes; Cyprinidae
Source: Ensembl